RNAcentral lists this ribosomal RNA (1086 nucleotides) under Chryseobacterium sp. ERMR1:04. RNAcentral describes it as "bacterial SSU rRNA". It matches the Rfam family "Bacterial small subunit ribosomal RNA", at positions 1 to 1091 of the family's 1533-position model. The record is from RNAcentral. Lineage: Bacteria; Pseudomonadati; Bacteroidota; Flavobacteriia; Flavobacteriales; Weeksellaceae.
UACAAUGGAGAGUUUGAUCCUGGCUCAGGAUGAACGCUAGCGGGAGGCCUAACACAUGCAAGCCGAGCGGUAUUUGUCUUUCGGGACAGAGAGAGCGGCGUACGGGUGCGGAACACGUGUGCAACCUGCCUUUAUCUGGGGGAUAGCCUUUCGAAAGGAAGAUUAAUACCCCAUAACAUAUUAAGUGGCAUCACUUGAUAUUGAAAACUCCGGUGGAUAGAGAUGGGCACGCGCAAGAUUAGAUAGUUGGUGAGGUAACGGCUCACCAAGUCAAUGAUCUUUAGGGGGCCUGAGAGGGUGAUCCCCCACACUGGUACUGAGACACGGACCAGACUCCUACGGGAGGCAGCAGUGAGGAAUAUUGGACAAUGGGUGAGAGCCUGAUCCAGCCAUCCCGCGUGAAGGACGACGGCCCUAUGGGUUGUAAACUUCUUUUGUAUAGGGAUAAACCUUUCCACGUGUGGAAAGCUGAAGGUACUAUACGAAUAAGCACCGGCUAACUCCGUGCCAGCAGCCGCGGUAAUACGGAGGGUGCAAGCGUUAUCCGGAUUUAUUGGGUUUAAAGGGUCCGUAGGCGGGCUCGUAAGUCAGUGGUGAAAUCUCAUAGCUUAACUAUGAAACUGCCAUUGAUACUGCGAGCCUUGAGUAAGGUAGAGGUAGCUGGAAUAAGUAGUGUAGCGGUGAAAUGCAUAGAUAUUACUUAGAACACCAAUUGCGAAGGCAGGUUACCAUGUCUUAACUGACGCUGAUGGACGAAAGCGUGGGGAGCGAACAGGAUUAGAUACCCUGGUAGUCCACGCCGUAAACGAUGCUAACUCGUUUUUGGGGCUUUAAGCUUCAGAGACUAAGCGAAAGUGAUAAGUUAGCCACCUGGGGAGUACGUUCGCAAGAAUGAAACUCAAAGGAAUUGACGGGGGCCCGCACAAGCGGUGGAUUAUGUGGUUUAAUUCGAUGAUACGCGAGGAACCUUACCAAGGCUUAAAUGGGAAUUGACAGGUUUAGAAAUAGACUUUUCUUCGGACAAUUUUCAAGGUGCUGCAUGGUUGUCGUCAGCUCGUGCCGUGAGGUGUUAGGUUAAGUCCUGCA